CGGCCCCGCAGCGACCGCCCAGCCGCGGGCGCGGGCCGGAGCCUCCCCCGGGAGCCGCAGUAAGCGCCGAGAAUUUGUGUGAUUGUCUCUGACCCAAUCCUACUGCUGAUGGACUCAGAAGCAAGGAAAAGUGCUGUGCAAUGAAUGAGUUUAAAGAUCACACACACUCCUGUACUCUUCCUCCUCCUCCUCCUCCUCCUCCUCACUCGGAAGCUGCCGAUUCGGAGGCGCCUCGGAGCCCCCAGGCUGCCGCCUCCUCAGCCCUGCAAACCAGACCGGACGCAGCCGUGCCGUGACUCUCCGAGCAGCAAGUACCGGCAGUUCACCACAGAAGCCCUAAGCAGCCGAGAGCCUAAGCGGGCCGAAAAUGGGAAAAAGGAGUUCAAAAGCCUCCGCGCCCUUGAGAGGCGCUCGGAGUUUUGCCACUGAGGUGCGUCCUCCAAGGCUUUCCACCGCCGCCUCCGAGGGACGAGCGCCGCCGAAGGAACGCGCAGAGGACCAAGGGCAAAGCAGAAGGCAGGCUGCAGAGCCAGGAGAAAGAGGACAAACCCGAAAGAGCCCCGGAAACGGAUACGGCCCGUGGGACCACGCGUUUACGAAACCUGAGUUCAGAGCACAGGACGCUUCACUUUUACCGGGACACUAGAGAGAAAAAUCGGUCUCUGUGCGAGCUGUGGAAUGACAAAACCGUAAAACAAACUGUCUGGUGGUUUUGGAUGGCAUUCCUGCCGUGCAAGGCUUUGUGUUGCCUUUGCAUUUAUAAGAACUAAAUUGAUGCUAAUUAGAAUAAUAGUAAUUUUACUUGAAGGAGACAGGUGGGCUGAGAGGCUGUUUAUUCUCCUGUUAACCACUCUCCUCUAAAAACACAAAUACCGUUGGGAGAAUCUUAAUUUCACCCAACUGGCACUUCGCUAAAUUUGGCACCAUGAUGUAACUGUGGUCAAAAUCUCAGAAAACACAUUAAAGAGAUGGGCAGUAGCUCUCAAGUGCAGAUCUGUCCCAGCUACCACUAUUUAAAUACUUUUUGAGCACUGUAUUUCAGUUUUUCUUAAUAUAUCCAUCUUUAAGGGUAACUGAAAUUUCUUGGGAGGUGGAAGGCAUCCAAUUUGUGUAGGCAAAGUUUGUGUUUAAGGUAGGUGAUGGAGAAACAAAUGAUCUGAAUCCUAUUUCUGAAUUUGUGUGACUUUAGCUCAUUUUAGUUCUCUGAGACAUGGCAAAACAUAUACAAAGCUCACUGCUUCAAAGAUUACAUUUCUUAGAAAUAGAAAUGAGUUACUUUUUUACUUUUUUUUUUUAAUUGGGCUUUAGUGCUUUUCUGUCUCUUUACAGGAAUACAAAGCUUUUUUAGUCCAUACCAUUUCUUGAGUUAAAAUAGUAUCAUAAGAAGUAACAGGAGUGAGAGGUCAGGCUCUUUGUGAAAGACUACUGUAAUGUUUACUGCUCAUAAAAAAUAACUAGGUAUAUAUUCUUAAGGCCUUAUGUGGACUGUGCGCAUGAGGGUGUGGAACUCUAGACAAAGUCUUUCUUUAUUCAACCUGUUACCAAGUUAUUGAAGUUAAAUUGGUCUUGACAGGAACAAACAAAAAAAAUUAUACUUUUAAAGCAGAAUGAGUUAAAAAAAAAUAAACCCAACACACAUUUCCUCUGGGAUAAAUCUGGGUAAACACUCUGCCACAACAACGUGCAGCUCACUCUAGCAGGCUGGCAAUCCUACUAAGUACCUAAAUUAACUGUUGAGAAGGAGCCCCAGAUAAUCCCAAAAGGCCGUAAAAAGUGGAGACAUUUGUGGCUGCUUCCACUCUAACCCAGGCCAAAAACAUGCAAAAACCUGAGACCCCUGCCCACUGCUCAGAGGGACAGCUGUCCGGUUUCAGAUGUAUCUGCUUUGCUGGUCAAAAAAAGAAACUAGAUGGCUACAUUAAAACCUUCACCAGAACUUAGAAUCUCUCUUACUCAUGUGGUCUAUCUAGAAUAAAGUUUAUUAACAAAAAAAGCUUUUCCUGCUUAUUGUGAAGAGCUAGUUUUGCCAAACGAGGAUCUUCAGCUUCAGAUAUCAUCACUGGCAUCUCGAUAGGAUUUGCAGUCUCACAUAAUUUAAAAAUGUGUUCCAAAUAUAGGUCAAAUGGUUAACUGACUUUUAAACCCUUAUGUAAGGCCCUAAACCUGCAUAUUUCUGUUUUACAUGGACAGAACUGGAAACACAAUACAACAACACAGCUUUCUUUCAAUCGGGCAUAGACUGGAUUCCACGUGUACAUUCAUAUUAGAAGAAUCUCCUAAUUUGGAUUGACACUACCAGAAUUGCAUCUUUUUGUAUAAUCCUAAACGCAUCUAUUUUGAAU
This is a long non-coding RNA of Rhea pennata, 2342 nucleotides long. RefSeq lists it as uncharacterized. NCBI's taxonomy places the organism in Eukaryota, Metazoa, Chordata, Aves, Rheiformes, Rheidae. The transcript has 3 exons. The record is from RefSeq and is a predicted model, not a curated record.